RNAcentral lists this long non-coding RNA (861 nucleotides) under Ananas comosus (pineapple). Its description in RNAcentral is "long non-coding RNA (ACOM_LNC020931)". Lineage: Eukaryota; Viridiplantae; Streptophyta; Magnoliopsida; Poales; Bromeliaceae. The record is from RNAcentral.
UCUGGAACUUUGGAGUUGGACUUUAUUGAGCAGGCAAACUUCCAUCUAUAUAGGUAUGAAUUGUGUAAAUUUUGUUAGUCUAGAGUUUCCAAAUAAAACUAAGAGCUAUUGAGUUUGACAAGAACAUUUGAAAAUAUUUUAGGAUAAAUAGCUUAAUUAAUGGGGAUUCUUCUAAAUUCUUAUUCAAACAGACUGUGUCUAGCAACCAAGUUUGCUAGUUUUGAGAUUAGGUGAUUGUCAAGUGGUACGCAUGAUUAGAGAUGUCAACGGGUCGGAUUCGGGGCGGAUUUUUAAAAACCCGAACCCGAACCCGAAAAUUUGAACCCGAAACAAUUAUUUUUUUUUUCAAUAUUUCAAAAUAUAUUAUAUUAAAUCUAAAUUUUUAAAAUACAAAUUUAAAUAUAACAUCAAAUUUUUAUAUAUAUAUUAUAUAUAAUACAAAAUAAAUUCGGGUUCGGGUCGGGUUCAGGUUCGGGUCGGAUACAAUCAAAAUCCAUAUCCGAAUCCAUAUCCGUCGGGUUUCUAUUUUUAAUAUCCAUAUCCGAAUCCAUAUCCAUAUCCAUCGGAUAUAUCCGUUUCAUUCGGAUUCGGGUUCGGAUAAAAUUUCGGGUAUCCAUACCCAUUGACAUCCCUACGCAUGAUGUGUUUUAGUUUCCAAUUGAAAUAAAUGACUUGGACAAUCUCCUUUUCUCGCUGUUGUUGUUUUUGUUCUUUUGUACACUACAACAAAAACGGUGUAUAGCGACACUUUUAAAUAUCGGUACAUGUCAAAAAAAGUGUUGCUAGCUAAUUACUGAUACUUUUUGAAAGUGUUGCUAUAUGUGGGAUCGUUAUGAGUAGGGCCGUCUUGAUAUUUGGCAU